AUUGAACGCUGGCGGCAGGCCUAACACAUGCAAGUCGAGCGAGCGGCGGACGGGUGAGUAAUGCCUAGGCAUAUGCCUGGUAGUGGGGGAUAACUACUGGCAACGGUAGCUAAUACCGCAUACCCUCAGAUGUGCCCAGAUGGGAUUAGCUAGUAGGUGGGGUAAUGGCUCACCUAGGCGACGAUCCCUAGCUGGUCUGAGAGGAUGACCAGCCACACUGGAACGUAGACACGGUCCAGACACCUACGGGAGGCAGCAGUGGGGAAUAUUGCACAAUGGGCGCAAGCCUGAUUCAGCCAUGCCGCGUGUAUGAAGAAGGCCUUCGGGUUGUAAAGUACGUUCAGCGGGGAGGCGUUACCCGCAGAAGAAGCACCGGCUAACUCCGUGCCAGCCGCCGCGGUAAUAC
This 406-nucleotide ribosomal RNA is filed under the name uncultured bacterium. RNAcentral describes it as "partial 16S ribosomal RNA". It matches the Rfam family "Bacterial small subunit ribosomal RNA", at positions 30 to 526 of the family's 1533-position model. The record is from RNAcentral.